Molecule: ribosomal RNA, 253 nt
Filed under: uncultured bacterium
Lineage: Bacteria
Description: partial 16S ribosomal RNA
Rfam family: Bacterial small subunit ribosomal RNA
Source: RNAcentral
UACGAAGGGGGCGAGCGUUGUUCGGAAUCACUGGGCGUAAAGGGCGCGUAGGCGGCCCUCUUAGUCGCGUGUGAAAGCCCCGGGCUCAACCUGGGAACGGCGCGCGAAACGGGAGGGCUGGAGUUCGGGAGAGGAGAGUGGAAUUCCCAGUGUAGAGGUGAAAUUCGUAGAUAUUCGCAAGAACACCAGUGGCGAAGGCGGCUCACUGGCCCGAUACUGACGCUGAGGUGCGAAAGCGUGGGGAGCAAACAGG